GGCCCCUUAGCUCAGGUGGUUAGAGCGGCGGACUCAUAAUCCGUUGGUCCCAGGUUCGAACCCUGGAGGGGCCA
Molecule: transfer RNA, 74 nt
Filed under: Gemmatimonadetes bacterium GWC2_71_10
Lineage: Bacteria; Pseudomonadati; Gemmatimonadota
Description: tRNA-Met
Rfam family: tRNA
About the family: Transfer RNA (tRNA) molecules are approximately 80 nucleotides in length. Their secondary structure includes four short double-helical elements and three loops (D, anti-codon, and T loops).
Source: RNAcentral